Molecule: unclassified non-coding RNA, 334 nt
Filed under: soil metagenome
Description: partial contains 5.8S ribosomal RNA, internal transcribed spacer 2, and large subunit ribosomal RNA
Rfam family: 5.8S ribosomal RNA (bases 1-120)
Source: RNAcentral
GAUGAAGAACGUAGCGAAAUGCGAUAAGUAAUGUGAAUUGCAGAAUUCAGUGAAUCAUCGAAUCUUUGAACGCACAUUGCGCCCGCUAGUAUUCUGGCGGGCAUGCCUGUUCGAGCGUCAUUUCAACCAUCAAGCUCCUUAGCUUGUGUUGGGGACCUGCGGCUGCCGCAGCCCCCGAAAUGCAGUGGCGGGCUCGUUGUCACACCGAGUGCAGUAAUCAUUCUUCUCUCCGGGCGUGGCGGCGGGUUCCGGCCGUAAAAUCACCAAUUUAUCAAGGUUGACCUCGGAUCAGGUAGGAAUACCCGCUGAACUUAAGCAUAUCAAUAGCGGAGGA